CUGAACCCACAUAGAGCACAGGCACUGAUAAUUUCUUUUUGGGGAGUGAAUUUGUCCGUGGUGUGAUUGAUAGGUUGAUCGAAACCUAGAGAAAGGAAAGCGAGGAUGAACAUUGUAGAAUCGGUGGUUACGCAAAUCCAAGGGCUAUCGAGCAGCGCGACAGAUAUCGCUGCACUUCAUACUUAUUUGAAACAGGCAGAUGAGUCGCUUCACACUGAGUCCGCUCGGUUGUUGCCCUUCCUCGACCAUCUUGACCCGUCCAUACAUUCUCUCGGUUACCUCUAUAUCCUGGAUGCAUGUACAUCAGGUCCAAUUUCUGAAGAGCAAGCCAAAACAUUGGUCUUAAUCUUUGCCAGGUUCAUCACUUCUUGUGUUGCAGAGCAGAUUCGUUUGGCAUCUGAUAAGUUCGUAUCUGUUUGCAAGAGGUUCAAGGACCAAGUUAUGCUGCUUAAAGCACCUAUGCAGGGGGUGGCUGCAAUGCUAUCUGCUGUACGAAAGCUUCAGUCUUCCUCUGCACAUUUGACCACUUUGCAUCCAGAGUUCCUUCAACUUUGCUUAUUGUCAAAGAGCUAUAAAACUGGUCUUUCUGUUCUGGAAGAUGAUAUUUUUGAGGUUGAUCAGCCAAGAGACCUGUUUCUCUAUUGUUAUUAUGGAGGGAUGAUGUGCAUUGGACAAAAGCGCUUUCAAAAAGCAUUAGAGCUUCUGCACAAUGUUGUCACUGCUCCUAUGUCUUCUAUAAAUGCUAUAGCUGUUGAAGCGUACAAAAAAUACAUAUUGGUUUCUCUUAUUCACCAGGGACAGUUCUCCACCAGUCUCCCUAAAUAUGCUUCCUCAGCAGCUCAGAGAAAUCUGAAGAACUUCUGUCAGCCGUACAUUGAAUUGGCAAAUAGUUAUAGUACUGGAAAAAUUGCAGAACUAGAGACAUAUGUCCAGACAAGCAGGGAGAAGUUUGAAAGUGACAAUAAUCUAGGACUUGUUAAGCAGGUUCUAUCAUCUAUGUACAAGAGAAAUAUCCAGAGAUUGACCCAGACAUAUUUGACUCUCUCCCUCCAAGAUAUAGCCAACACAGUGCAACUCAAUAGCCCAAAAGAGGCGGAAAUGCAUGUGCUUCAAAUGAUCCAAGAUGGUGAAAUAUAUGCAACAAUCAACCAAAAAGAUGGGAUGGUUAGAUUCCUAGAGGAUCCUGAGCAAUAUAAAACUUGUGAGAUGAUCAAGCAUAUCGACUCCUCAAUACAAAGGAUGAUGGAACUGUCAAAGAAGUUAACUACGAUGGAUGAACUCAUGUCAUGCGAUCCCUUGUACCUGGCAAAGGCUGGGAGAGAGCGUCAGAGAUUUGAUUUUGACGAUUUUGACACUGUUCCUCAGAAAUUCAAUAUAUGAUCAGAGCCAGAGGCAUGUGGACGAGAUGUUUUAGAUGAUGCUAGGCUCAUAUUUUGUUUUAUCUGCGCCAUGUUGAAAGAGAUGGGGAAUUUUUUUCCUUUUGUUCCACCAAUGGAAAUUAAUGCACAUGUCAAAGUCCCCUCUUUUUUUUUCUUGACAUUGUGAUAAGCAUCCGGUUUUAGUCAUUAAAACAUUUCAAUCAUAUGUUUUACCGUAUGCAAGUGCUCCUACCUAUUGGAUUA
Molecule: unclassified non-coding RNA, 1622 nt
Filed under: Hevea brasiliensis (rubber tree)
Lineage: Eukaryota; Viridiplantae; Streptophyta; Magnoliopsida; Malpighiales; Euphorbiaceae
Source: RNAcentral